CUUGGCACCUCACAUAAGCAUUUGGGGUGUGCCAGAGGCUCUGUGUAUCCAGACUUGCUAAUGCACUGGUGUAGCUGUUUCUACUUAUCAGUCACUUUGCACAUGUGAGAUCAUUGUUCUGAAGUUGUGGCAACAAUUGCUGCAAAAAUAUGGAUUGGACCAACUCUAGGGCCAUUAUGGAGCAAAUCAGCAUGCAAGUCUAAAGGCAAGAAAAUAGAUACAGAAACAGAUAAGCAAAAGGCAAAUAACAGAGGAGGUCAGAAGGAAGACCAAGCAUCUCUCUGUCUACAACUCUGCUAUGUUGGAAACUUCCUAAUAAAUAUUGCAAUAUUUGCCAUUUUGAGGCUUCAUUCUUCAAGGAGGAUAUUGGACAUGAACUUGUCUGAGGGAUAGUGUUUCGCAAUAGACUUGGUGGCUAAGACUGAUCCUCGACUUGUGCAUGGAUGGGAAAGGCUCUUGGAUGGGACGUGCCAUUGGCCAGAUACACAUAGGAUAAUAUUUGGGUAAAAUUUAUCCAAUAAAUGUUUACUAUAUCAGUAGGAAGAUUCAGUAAAACAUUCAUCCUAUACUGUUAGUCUAUAUGCAGGUCAUUAGUCAAGUCCAAUACCGUAUACAAAAAAAUCCGUAUGUCUCUUGUACUCUACAAUUCUCUCCAGUUUCCUUCCGAUAAAUGAAUUAAUGUUUAUAUUUCAGUGGACAAAAUUGGGUUUAACUGAUAGUUCAAGAUGUUGGAAGAGUAACUAUGUAGAUUCAGGGUAAUAAAACAACAAUAAUAAUAAUAGUAAUAAUAAAUAUCAUCUCAGUACAAGUGCCAGCAUAUUUGGGGACUUUAUGAUUAUUAAAAUAUUAUUAGGAUGGAUAGGUCGUUGUCUUGCCUGAGGAUAAGAGCAGCAUUUCUAGAACUCACGUACAGCUGUGGUAGUGGUUAAUUAUGACAUCACUCUAAAACAAUGAAACUAAAUAAAGUCAUUUUCUCACACUAAGCAAUAUUAGCAUUUAUCUUCACCCGUGUUAUAUUUUGGUGUCUGUUUCUCAUAUAUUUAAGCCUAAACCAUAGAUACUGAUUGAUUCUACCAAAAUCCGAAGUGUUAUUUUUUAAUCCGUAUACCACAGAAACUUUAGAAAGAUAAAGGUAUUUUAUAUGUGGAUUAGUAUGCAAUAAUCUUUACACAUUACAAAAAUUCUUUUAGUUUUUUUUUUAAGGUAUGGCAAAACUUCAUGGUGUGUGUGUGUGUGUGUGUGUGUUUAUUUGCCCUUUGAAGUAAUUUAUUAGACACUUCUGUAGAUCCUGAGGCUAAAGAGGUGAAAAGGCUGGUUAAAUGUUCUAUCUUCAUGGAAUUGAUACACCAAUGUAGGGAGAUAUAUAAUAUAAACAUGCCUACCUAAAGAAGCAAACAAACAGGGCUACUUCAUUCACAUAGUCAUGACUGUGAUAAAAGGGAAGAAUGAAAACAAAGUAAGGACUCGGGAUCCACAGCUGAAAAACUAUGUCUUCUUGUAAAGAGGGGGAAGAUGGGAGUGGUUGCUUGAGCUAGAUUCUAAAUGACAAGAAGGAAGUAGACAAGUGGAGGUUGAGGGUACAAUGUAUGUCAUACACCUAGCAUACAGGUGUUUAUUGAGCUAACUGAAAUUUUGAGCUAAACUGAAUGAUAUAACCAAAUAAUCAGGUAAUAUGACAUAAG
Long non-coding RNA from Papio anubis (olive baboon), 1682 nucleotides. Lineage: Eukaryota; Metazoa; Chordata; Mammalia; Primates; Cercopithecidae. The record is from Ensembl.